GGGAAAGGAAGUCGUGUCACUUAGACAACCAGGAGGUUGGCUUAGAAGCAGCCAUCCUUUAAAAAGUGCGUAAUAGCUUACUGGUCAACUACGUGAUGUGGCGCCGAAAAUAUAACGGGGCUCAAGAUAAGCACCGAAGCGACGAAUUGGAUUUGUACUUGAUACAAACUCCAGUGGUAGAGGAGCGUUCUAUAUGCAUUGAAGCCAAACGCGCGAGCGAUGGUGGAGCGUAUAGAAGUGAGAAUGCCGGCAUGAGUAACGCAAAUCAGUCGAGAUUACUGAUCACCGAAUACCCGAGGUUUCCGCAGCACUGCACAUCAACUGCGGGUUAGGCGGUCCUAAGGCGAGGCCGUAAUUGGCGUAGUCGAUGGACAGACGGUUAAUAUUCCGUCCCUUCUAUAGAUGUUCCCAUCAGAGACUGAGAACUUUUGUUCUUACGAGAAAAUCUGAUGAUUAAUAGUCUAUAGGAUCCGUACCGUAAACCGACACAGGUGGGUGGGGAGAGUAUCCUCAGGUGAUCGAGAUAACCUUCGCUAAGGAAUUCGGCAAAUUGCUGUCGUAACUUAGGGAGAAGGCAGCCCCUUCGUAUGCUUGCAUAUGUUGGGGGGCACAAACAAGGCUCAAACGACUGUUUAACAAAAACACAGCUCCCUGCUAACUCGAAAGAGGAUGUAUAGGGGGUGACGCCUGCCCAAUGCUGGAAGGUUAAAGAAGUUGGUUAGUUUCCUCGGAAACAAAGCUGGCGACUGAAGCCCCAGUGAAUGGCAGCAGUAACUAUAACUGUUCUAAGGUACCGAAGUUCCUUGUCGGGUAAUUUCCGACCUGCAGGAAAGGCGUAACGAGUUGAGCACUGUCUUCAGCGAAGGGCUCGGUGAAAUUGUAAUGGCCGUGAAGAUACGGUCUACCUACACCAGGACAAAAAGACCCCGUGGAGCUUUACUAUAGCUUGGCAUUGAUUUAAGAAUGUUUCUGUGUAGCGUAGCGAGGAGACUUUGAAGCGUAGGCGUCAGCUUACGUGGAGUCGCCAAUGAAACACUCGCCUUUAAUAUUUUUAAAUCUUACCUUGAGCCGUGAAUCCGGUUCGGGGACAGUGUCUGGUAGGUAGUUUGUCUGGGGCGGAUGCCUGGCAAAAAGUAACCCAGGUGCCCAAAGGUUCUCUUAGUCCGGAUGGAAAUCGGACCACAAGUGUAAAGGCAAAAGAGAGCUUGACUGCAAGGCUGACAAGCCGAGCAGCAGCGAAAGCUGGGCUUAGUGAUCCUGCUUAACUUAGAGGUAAGGAAGCAGCUUAUCGGAUUAAAGUUACCCCGGGGAUAACAGAGUGGUCGCGCCCAAUAGCCCGUAUUGCCGGCGCGGUUCGCUACCUCGAUGUCGGCUCAUCGCAUCCUGGGGCUGUAGCCGGUCCCAAGGGUUGGUCUGUUCGCCCAUUAAAGCGGUACGCGAGCUGGGUUCAAACCGUCGUGAGACAGGUUGGUCUCUAUCCGGUGUAGGCGUGUAAUGAUUUGAGAGGAUAUUCCGUUAGUACGAGAGGACCGCGGAGUGCGAAUCUCUGGUGUAUCAGUUGUUUGUCGAGUUUGCUUGCAAACUCGGAGGGCAUAGCUGAGUAGCUACAUUCGUUUAGGAUAAGCGCUGAAAGCAUAUAAGCGCGAAGCCGACCUCAAGAUUAAAUCAAGGCCCCUGGGAGAAUACCAGGUUGAUAGGCUGCAAGUGUACGCGUAGCAAUACGUUUAGCUGAGCAGUACUAAUAAGCCGUUAGUAUUUUA
This 1760-nucleotide ribosomal RNA is filed under the name candidate division WWE3 bacterium CG_4_9_14_3_um_filter_39_7. Its description in RNAcentral is "bacterial LSU rRNA". It matches the Rfam family "Bacterial large subunit ribosomal RNA", at positions 1065 to 2925 of the family's 2925-position model. Lineage: Bacteria; candidate division WWE3. The record is from RNAcentral.